Molecule: ribosomal RNA, 468 nt
Filed under: uncultured bacterium
Lineage: Bacteria
Description: partial 16S ribosomal RNA
Rfam family: Bacterial small subunit ribosomal RNA
Source: RNAcentral
GACGAACGCUUUCUUCUUUCUUAACACAUGCAAGUCGAACGGAAAGGCCCUGCUUUUGUGGGGUGCUCGAGUGGCGAACGGGUGAGUAACACGUGAGUAACCUGCCCUUGACUUUGGGAUAACUUCAGGAAACUGGGGCUAAUACCGGAUAGGAGCUCCUGCUGCAUGGUGGGGGUUGGAAAGUUUCGGCGGUUGGGGAUGGACUCGCGGCUUAUCAGCUUGUUGGUGGGGUAGUGGCUUACCAAGGCUUUGACGGGUAGCCGGCCUGAGAGGGUGACCGGCCACAUUGGGACUGAGAUACGGCCCAGACUCCUACGGGAGGCAACAGUGGGGAAUAUUGCACAAUGGGCGGAAGCCUGAUGCAGCAACGCCGCGUGCGGGAUGACGGCCUUCGGGUUGUAAACCGCUUUCGCCUGUGACGAAGCGUGAGUGACGGUAAUGGGUAAAGAAGCAACGGCUAACUACGUG